Molecule: ribosomal RNA, 492 nt
Filed under: uncultured bacterium
Lineage: Bacteria
Description: partial 16S ribosomal RNA
Rfam family: Bacterial small subunit ribosomal RNA
Source: RNAcentral
AGUGAACGCUGGCGGUAGGCCUAACACAUGCAAGUCGAACGGCAGCACAGUAAGAGCUUGCUCUUACGGGUGGCGAGUGGCGGACGGGUGAGGAAUACAUCGGAAUCUACUUUUUCGUGGGGGAUAACGUAGGGAAACUUACGCUAAUACCGCAUAUGACCUACGGGUGAAAGCAGGGGAUCUUCGGACCUUGCGCGAUUGAAUGAGCCGAUUUCGGAUUAGCUAGUUUGCGGGGUAAAGGCCCACCAAGGCGACGAUCCGUAGCUGGUCUGAGAGGAUGAUCAGCCACACUGGAACUGGGACACGGUCCAGACUCCUACGGGAGGCAGCAGUGGGGAAUAUUGGACAAUGGGCGCAAGCCUGAUCCAGCCAUACCGCGUGGGUGAAGAAGGCCUUCGGGUUGUAAAGCCCUUUUGUUGGGAAAGAAAAGCAGCAGGUUAAUACCCCGCUGUUCUGACGGUACCCAAAGAAUAAGCACCGGCUAACUUCGUG